RNAcentral lists this transfer RNA (74 nucleotides) under Aureispira sp. RNAcentral describes it as "tRNA-Ile". It matches the Rfam family "tRNA". Rfam says of the family: Transfer RNA (tRNA) molecules are approximately 80 nucleotides in length. Their secondary structure includes four short double-helical elements and three loops (D, anti-codon, and T loops). Further hydrogen bonds mediate the characteristic L-shaped molecular structure. tRNAs have two regions of fundamental functional importance: the anti-codon, which is responsible for specific mRNA codon recognition, and the 3' end, to which the tRNAs corresponding amino acid is attached (by aminoacyl-tRNA synthetases). tRNAs cope with the degeneracy of the genetic code in two manners: having more than one tRNA (with a specific anti-codon) for a particular amino acid; and 'wobble' base-pairing, i.e. permitting non-standard base-pairing at the 3rd anti-codon position. RNAcentral also lists the same sequence under 1 other name. The record is from RNAcentral. Lineage: Bacteria; Pseudomonadati; Bacteroidota; Saprospiria; Saprospirales; Saprospiraceae.
UCUCCGGUAGCACAACGGUAGUGCGAUCGACCGAUAAUCGUUGUAUGAAAGUUCGAAUCUUUCUCGGAGAACCA